AGGGAGUGUGCCAGGCCAACGGUGGUGUCGCUUUAAUUAGCCCAUCCAGGGCUUGAUGGAGAGUAGGACGAAAAUAGUAAAUACAUUAAAUGUUAGAGAGCUCUCCUUGGGGUGAGACGGAAAGUCAAACAUUAACCUUCAUGAAGAAAGAUAUUUGGCGCUUCUGCCAGAGGAGUCUGAUGAGUCCUGGUCUAGGUUUUGUUGCUUUCAUUUGGGUCUUCAUGAUGACGUGUGUGGACGUUCCCGCUGAAACCCAACUUGACGUAUUGUCGUACAAAAGCCUGUCCAAGAAGCUCCUGCCUGUCUAAUCUCUCUCUGACUGUCAUCUCCAGUUUGUUGACACAGGCUGGUUGCCUUCCAGUUAGGUAGGUAGCCGGGUGCCUCAAUUCUUAGUCUCUUACACUCUCCUCUCAAGAUGGUCAGCUUCACACGCUCCGGUUCCUGCUUAAGCUCUGUUAUAAUUGAAUAUUUAUUUCCUGUCUACCAAGUCAUAUGUACACAUUUCUUUCUUACCCUAGGAACUUUGAAACACAGAAAGUUAAGUGUCUGAGAUUUUUCACUUUUUAAAAAAACAUUAUUUUAUUGAGGUCAUAUUGGCUUUUAACGUUGUGUAAAUUUCAGGUGUACAUUAUUAUAUUUCAGUUUUUGUAUAGAUUGCAUUGUGUUCCACACUGAUAAUCUAGUGUUUAUCUGUCACCAUACAUAUGUGCCCCUUUACCUCUUUUGUCCUCCCCCCUUCCCCUCUGGUAACCACUAAUCUGUUCUCCUUAUCUACAUGUUUGUUUAUCUUCCACACAUGAGUGAAGUCAUACAGUAUUUGUCUUUCUCUGUCUGACUUAUUUCGCUUAGCAUAAUACCCUCAAGGUCCAUGCAUGUUGUCACAAAUGGUAUGAUUUUGUCCUUUUUUAUGGCUGAGUAGUAUUCUAUUGUAUGUAUAUAUACCACAUCUUCUUUAUCCAUUCAUCCGUUACUGGGCACUAGGGUUGCUUCCACAUCUUGACUAUGGUGAAUAAUGCUGCAGUGAACAUAGGGGUACAUAAGUC
This 1043-nucleotide long non-coding RNA is filed under the name Equus caballus (horse). RNAcentral's name for it is "lncRNA (ENSECAG00000056958.1)". Lineage: Eukaryota; Metazoa; Chordata; Mammalia; Perissodactyla; Equidae. The record is from RNAcentral.